RNAcentral lists this ribosomal RNA (764 nucleotides) under uncultured bacterium. RNAcentral describes it as "bacterial SSU rRNA". It matches the Rfam family "Bacterial small subunit ribosomal RNA", at positions 583 to 1346 of the family's 1533-position model. The record is from RNAcentral.
UCGCGUCGUCUGUGAAAUUCCGGGGCUUAACUCCGGGCGUGCAGGCGAUACGGGCAUAACUUGAGUACUGUAGGGGUAACUGGAAUUCCUGGUGUAGCGGUGAAAUGCGCAGAUAUCAGGAGGAACACCGAUGGCGAAGGCAGGUUACUGGGCAGUUACUGACGCUGAGGAGCGAAAGCAUGGGUAGCGAACAGGAUUAGAUACCCUGGUAGUCCAUGCCGUAAACGGUGGGCGCUAGGUGUGAGGGUCUUUUCACGACUUUCGUGCCGUAGCUAACGCAUUAAGCGCCCCGCCUGGGGAGUACGGCCGCAAGGCUAAAACUCAAAGGAAUUGACGGGGGCCCGCACAAGCGGCGGAGCAUGUGGAUUAAUUCGAUGCAACGCGAAGAACCUUACCUGGGCUUGACAUACACCGGAUCGCUGCAGAGAUGUAGUUUCCCUUUGUGGCUGGUGUACAGGUGGUGCAUGGUUGUCGUCAGCUCGUGUCGUGAGAUGUUGGGUUAAGUCCCGCAACGAGCGCAACCCUUGUCUUAUGUUGCCAGCAUUUGGUUGGGGACUCAUGAGAGACUGCCGGGGUCAACUCGGAGGAAGGUGGGGAUGACGUCAAAUCAUCAUGCCCCUUAUGUCCAGGGCUUCACACAUGCUACAAUGGUCGGUACAACGCGCAGCGACACUGUGAGGUGGAGCGAAUCGCUGAAAGCCGGCCUUAGUUCGGAUUGGGGUCUGCAACUCGACCCCAUGAAGUCGGAGUCGCUAGUAAUCGCA